AGCAGUCGCCGCGGUAAUACGUAGGUGGCAAGCGUUAUCCGGAAUUAUUGGGCGUAAAGCGCGCGUAGGCGGUUUUUUAAGUCUGAUGUGAAAGCCCACGGCUCAACCGUGGAGGGUCAUUGGAAACUGGAAAACUUGAGUGCAGAAGAGGAAAGUGGAAUUCCAUGUGUAGCGGUGAAAUGCGCAGAGAUAUGGAGGAACACCAGUGGCGAAGGCGACUUUCUGGUCUGUAACUGACGCUGAUGUGCGAAAGCGUGGGGAUCAAACAGGAUUAGAUACCCGCGUAGUCCCUGUCUCUUAUAC
Molecule: ribosomal RNA, 303 nt
Filed under: uncultured bacterium
Lineage: Bacteria
Description: partial 16S ribosomal RNA
Rfam family: Bacterial small subunit ribosomal RNA
Source: RNAcentral